Peromyscus eremicus (cactus mouse) is the source of this 791-nucleotide long non-coding RNA. RefSeq lists it as uncharacterized. The transcript has 4 exons. NCBI's taxonomy places the organism in Eukaryota, Metazoa, Chordata, Mammalia, Rodentia, Cricetidae. The record is from RefSeq and is a predicted model, not a curated record.
UGGAGGCCUCAUGCUCUGUGCUUUGCCUGCGUGCUCUCUGAACUCUGCAUUCCCAGGGAGUGUGUCUGCACCCAUGUCUCAGAUAUGGAAACUACAGCUCGGAUGCAAUUAAGCUCCUCUCAGAGCUGCCAAGUGCCCUUCCCAGCAAGUGGUCAUCCAGGCAGGGGUUCCCAGCCCAGCUUCAACGAGCAUUUCCUCCCCUAAGGGAGUACGGCUCCACCUUGUGGGACAGAUUCACGGGCAGACCAGGAUAGGUGGCAGAGACUCCACUCCCUCCCUCCUAGGGAGACACCUGCUGCUAUUUCAUUCUGGGUCUUACUAGACGUAAAACAAUAUUAUCACACUACGAAACCUCCUGAGGAGGCAGGCCUGAAGGAGCUUCAGGAGAAACAACCUCACAACAAAAUGGCAGCAUUGUUGAUGGUGCUGUCUGGGAUCGUUGUGGGACACUUAGAGGCUGAAGCCUGGCUGGAAGAGGACUGUCAAGGUGAUGGGGGAGCCACCCCGUCCCUGCUGCUACAUCUUCCCAUCAUGACGGAGUGCAUCCCCUCUGGAAGUUGAAGCUAAAAAUAUACACACAUCCUCCCAUGUGUCCCAAGUCCAGGUGAUUCAGGAAGGAAUAGGAUCCACCCUCCGCCGCUUAGGCCUUCGGGGAAGAACACGGCCUGAUGGGUGAGACGCUGUUGUGAGAAGCAUUAAGAACUACAGGCUGGGGUGCUGUCAACAUUGUCAGAGGAGGCCAGAAAAGGGAAGGCUCAUCCCAUUUUGAAGCAUGAAUAGGAGUUUACCAG